Molecule: unclassified non-coding RNA, 241 nt
Filed under: Hevea brasiliensis (rubber tree)
Lineage: Eukaryota; Viridiplantae; Streptophyta; Magnoliopsida; Malpighiales; Euphorbiaceae
Source: RNAcentral
CUAUCUCUCCAUUGUUGGAUGGUCCCCUCAAAUGAGUCUGCAUUGUCGUUGCGGAAUAUUCCAUUGUGUCCCAUCACAAGGGCUGCAUUCGGAGCUUGAGCAAGAGCAUGUUCUAGCGCAGUUUUCCAUUCAAACAAAUCCUCUGAUGAAUCUGCCUUAAGGGUAAAAGCACGCCCAUCACGUCCAUCAGGAAAAAGAACAGUCAACAAUUUCUUAUCUUCCCUAACCACAACACUCCCGG